Molecule: ribosomal RNA, 199 nt
Filed under: uncultured bacterium
Lineage: Bacteria
Description: partial 16S ribosomal RNA
Rfam family: Bacterial small subunit ribosomal RNA
Source: RNAcentral
ACUCCUACGGGAGGCAGCAGUGGGGAAUUUUGGACAAUGGGCGCAAGCCUGAUCCAGCCAUGCCGCGUGCGGGAAGAAGGCCUUCGGGUUGUAAACCGCUUUUGUCAGGGAAGAAAAGCUUUGGGUUAAUACCCUAGGGUGAUGACGGUACCUGAAGAAUAAGCACCGGCUAACUACGUGCCAGCAGCCGCGGUAAUAC